Molecule: ribosomal RNA, 502 nt
Filed under: uncultured bacterium
Lineage: Bacteria
Description: bacterial SSU rRNA
Rfam family: Bacterial small subunit ribosomal RNA
Source: RNAcentral
AUUGAACGCUGGCGGAAUGCUUUACACAUGCAAGUCGAGCGGCAGCGCGGGGCAACCUGGCGGCGAGCGGCGAACGGGUGAGUAACACAUCGGAACGUGCCCAGACGUGGGGGAUAGCCCGGCGAAAGCCAGAUUAAUACCGCAUACGAUCUAAGGAUGAAAGCGGGGGAUCGCAAGACCUCGCGCGUUUGGAGCGGCCGAUGGCAGAUUAGGUAGUUGGUGGGGUAAAGGCUUACCAAGCCUGCGAUCUGUAGCUGGUCUGAGAGGAUGAUCAGCCACACUGGGACUGAGACACGGCCCAGACUCCUACGGGAGGCAGCAGUGGGGAAUUUUGGACAAUGGGCGCAAGCCUGAUCCAGCCAUUCCGCGUGCAGGACGAAGGCCUUCGGGUUGUAAACUGCUUUUGUACGGAACGAAAAGGUCGUUCUCUAAUACAGGGGGCCCAUGACGGUACCGUAAGAAUAAGCGACCGCGUAACUACGUGCCAGCAGCCGCGGUAACG